UGGGCCUGCGCGUCCGGAGCCUGUGCUCCGCAACGGGAGAGGCCACAACAGUGAGAGGCCCGCGUACCGCAAAAAAAAAAAAAAAAAAAAAAAAAAAAAGACUCUGAGCCUCAGUCUCCUAAUCUGUAAAAUGGGGAUAAGCAUACUUCCCUGCACAGGGCGAUGGUGAGGAGAACCAACAGGUAAUGUGGGGUAAGGGCCAGAAGUGUUCCUGAGUGUUCCAGAAUCUGCCUCCCACCCUCCUUGCCUGGGUGACUCCACUGAGACAGUGCCUCUCCUGGGAGCCUGACCGGACCUCCCAAGUCUAAGUUAAAUGCCCUAUGAGCAUCCUAUCAGAGCACUUUUCAGAUACGUCUGUCACUGCAUGUUUACUUGCCUGUCCCUCCCACCCAGUCCCUGCACACAGCAGGCGUUCAACGACUGUCAUCGAAUGAACUAACCUUUCUCAACAGGCCUUUCCAUAGAAUUGAAGAAAGAUAUAAAGUAAGCAAAAUAAUGAUAACCCAAUGGCCUUUACUGAUUGCAAAUGACUUGCACAUUUAUUAUCCCAAUUCGUGACUUACAUUAAGAGUCCCAUGAGGUAGGCAGGGAUACUUUUUAAAAUGUUUUUAUUACUUUGGGUUAUAACAGGCACUCCUUCUUCCACUGGCUCUGAACUCUGGCUGGUGUAGCUAUUGACCUGGGCAGCUCGUGAGAAGGGCUUCAGGAGGACCUGGAUUAGCACAGAUAAUCAGGAGUGGGAUGUAUUUUCGCUACCUACACACCUUUUGUCAUCUUAGCUUCCUCAUUUGAACAGAAGCUCUUUGAAGAUUUGCCUGUCCUGGACAUUUCAUAUGAAGGGAAACAUACAACAUGUUGUCCUGUGUGACUGGCUUCUCUGACUUAUGUUUCCAAGGUUCAUCCAUGUUGUGGCAUGUGUGAGUAUUUCAUUCCUUUUUUUGGCCAAAUAAUAUCCAUUGUAUGGAUAUACCACAAUCUGCUUAUCCAUUCAUCGGCUGAUGGCCACUUAGAUUGCUUCUACCUUUUGAAUAUUGUGAGUAUUGCUGCUGUGAACGCGGGUGUACAUAUAUAUACACCUGUUUCCGUCCCUGCUUUCACUUCUUUUGAGGGUAUGACCAGAAGUGGAAUUGCUGGGUCAAAUGGUAACUCCGUGUUUAACCUUUGGAGGAAUUUCCAGACUGUUUUCCAAAGCAGUUGCCCCGUGUUCCAUUCCAAUCAGCAGUAUAUGAGGGUUCCAGUUCUCCUCAUCCUUGCCAACACUUGUUAUUAUGUCUUUUUGAUUCUAGCCAUCCUAGUGGGUGUGACGUUGUAUUGUGUUUUAAAUUUGUACAUCACCGACAACUAACGAAGCUGAGCAUUUUUUUCAUGUGCUUAUGGGCCAGCUGUAUAUCCUCCUUGGAGAUAUAUCUAUUCAAAUCCUUUGCCCAUUUAAAAAUGUGGUUGUCUUUUUUUAUUACUGAGUUAUGUGUUCUCUAUAUACUUUGGAUGAAAAAGUCCCUUAUCAGAAGAUUUGCAAAGAUGUUCUCCCGUUUUGUGUUCCUUUUUCACUUUCUUGAUGAUGUCCUUUACAGCACAAAAGUUUUUAAUUUUGAUGAAGUAUAAUUUUAUUGUUGUUAUUGUUGCUUGUGCUUUUGGUGUCACGUCUAAGAAGGUUUUGCCUAACCCAAGGUCAUAAACAUUCACUCAAAGAGUAAACAUUUUCUUCUAAGAAAGAGUUUUAUAGUUUAUUGUUUACAUUUAGGUUUAUGAUUCAUUUUGAGUUAACUUUUGUAUAUGGUGUGAGGAAAAUCGUAAGUUCUCAAUAAAAGCCUCCUUUUAGCUGGGCAUCUGCUCAGCCACUGUACUUUCAACCCAAACAGCUAACACAGAGAUGUGAAGGGGACCUCUAACAAGAUAUAGAUGCUGACAGAAUCAAUCUCUGGGCAGAAGAUGUCCCUACAUUCCUUUUCAUAUAAGUCAGUAUCUGAUUUUGAUUUGUCUGAGCACAGGCUGUUGAAAGCGCCCAGAUGUGCCGAGAUGAAAUUGACAUGUUGAAAGCAGCCCCACUGGGUAUAAAGGAGUUUAUACACAAUUGAGUUGCUCCAUGUAGUAAUCAAGUUAUAAAAGGGCAGCUCUAAGGAAACCGCCUAAUUGGCAAAAGAAAGUCCAGCCCAGCAAUUAGAGAACACCACCUACACAGCUUGGCUAGACCCCACCUGGCUGUUUUCCUACAGCAGGAAAAAAAAAUAAAAACCAUCAGACCAUUUUCUAAAUGGAAUAGAACAUUUCAGCACAAGCAAUAAUUAGGAGAUAACUACCCUCUUGGCUGCUUUCCACACUUGACCUCUGGCCCCUGCCUCUGAGCAUACCCGCGACACACAGUGAUCUCACAACCACCCCACACCAGCAGCUACACACUCGCGUGCACCCUGCGGCCCUUCUCCCAGGACCCCUCCUCCCCAGGCAUCCCCAGAGCCCAUGUAGUCCCCUUGGUCCAGAGAGGCCAGACAACCCCUUGCUGGUGAGGUCACACACCUCUGGGAAAAACAGCACACCAUCUACUUUUAUUAGCCAGACCCUCUGGCAGCCUCCUUUGAACUCUAAAACUAGAUUCUUCCAUGUCCUCCUGCUGAGGAUGUCAGGACCAGGCCUCUCCGUCCUUCCGGGUGGGCACAGGUGGCUGGGGGACAGGCACUUUGAUUAGAGAGCCUGGAUGUCAGAGAGGAACCUUCUACCUCUCCCAUUUUUCAGGCAGGAAACUGAGCAGACAGAGUGGUUUGUCAUGGUGGAAAAGCAACCUAAGGCAGAGCUGGAAUAUGAACACAAAACCCUGAUCAUUUGAAUCUAACACUCUUUUUUUUUAAAUUUUUUGGCCGUGCUGCACAACACGUGGCAUCUUAGUUCCCCAACCAGGGAUUGAACCCAUGCCUCCUGCAGUGGAAGCACGGAGUCCUAACCACUGGACCGCCACGGACGUCCCCUGAACCUAACAUGCUUAUCAGUAUUUCAUUGCAUGUAUGUAAUGUGCAAGGAAUAUGUACAAUGUGAAGCUGAUAUUUCUUUUUAUUAUAAUUAUUUACUUUUUGGCUGCAUUGGGUCUUAGUUGCGGCACGCGGCAUCUUCGUUGAGGCAUGCGGGAUAGUUCAUUGUGGUGCGCGGGCUUCUCUCUAGUUGCGGCGUGCAGGGUUUCUCUUCUCUAGUCGUGGCGCACAGGCUCCAGGGCACGUGGGCUCUGCAGUUUGCAGCAAGCGGACUCGAGCUGAGGCGCACGAGCUCAGUAGUUGUGGCGCAAGGGCUUAGUUGCCCCGUGGCAUGUGGGAUCUUAGUUCCCUGACCAGGGAUCAAACCCAUGUCCCCUGCAUUGUAAGGCGGAUUCUUUACCACUGGACCACCAGGGAAGUCCCUGCAGCUGAUAUUUCUGACUCCAAUAUUUAUCUGCACUUACCCGAUCUCCCAGCAGAUCCUAGGCCAUGGACUCAUUAACCCAGUGCUUUUUUUGCCCCUUUUUCUCUGUCUUUAUCUGCAGCUCUAUGGAACGGUAAGAGCCAUGUAACUGACAAUAUUUCCCCAAAGCUGAGAAGUUCGCAGUCUCCAGUAGGGUUCUCUCCCCCAGCACACCGUUUAGCAGAUUUUCCGCCUGUAGAUGGGAUGUUCCACUCAAUUCAAGCCUGAAUGCUAAGGCGCUGACGGGCGGGGAAUGAGGGCGCACAAACGCCCAGGACUGUCUUAACCAGAGUCCCGGCAGCCUACAGAGUUCAUUUUCGGGUUAUAUCUCUCCUGGCCUCCAAAAGUUUACAUUUUCUGGAGACAUGAAUUUUGUGGAUAGGUAAAUAAUUCUAAAAAAAUAAGAAGAACAAGAACAACAGCUACCAUUUCUUGGCCGUAUCCUAUGGGGUAGGCACUGUUCCGAGUCCUACAGGGAUUGGCUCAGUUACCUCAUCCACAUCCCUAUCAGGUGGACGUCAGGCAUUUAAUGAUGAAGAAACAGGCACGCAGAGGUUAAGUCACCUGCCCACGAUGACAUGGGUAGCAGCUGGUAGCAGUUUCCCGGAGCUGUUGACUAGCUGGAAGCUUUCGGUGAGAAAGAUGACAACGCAUGUGGUAUGUGGCCCACCCAGUUCCGUGACUAGGAGAGGAAGGUUCCGCCCAUCUGGACCCUCUCACGGAACAGAACUGUACUUUGGAGCUGAAAAAUACCACCGAAUAAUGAGGUACUUCCGGUCCGCCGCAAAGCCCAGUGGACCCUACUGGAACAAAAGCCAAGCAGAGGCGGCAUGGAGGUCACUGCAGAGACAGCCUUGAAAGAGUUUUACCAGGAGAAACUGUGAAGCAAUCAAUCAGGACGCCAACAAUGCCUUGCUGUCCUGGAGGAGUAAGGAUGUGACCCACACCCAAGCCACUUCGCUCUCAGCUUCACUCCAGCCGUUCUGAGGUCCUUUCUGCGCCCCAUGUACUCCGGUGACACCCUUCCCACUUUCACCUGGCACGUGUCUGUUCAUCCACUAAACCCAGUUUAGAUGGCACUUCUUCUGGGAAGCCCUCCCUUCUCUACUGAUUCUGAACCUUGUCAAUCCUUCCCCUGUUGGCCUGGUCACUCUGAAUAAUGAGCGGCUUACAGGUCUGUCUCCCCCACGUGACUGAGUACCUUCUUUGAAUUUUAUUUUUUAAUGGAUGGGUUGGUGUCUUACGAAGGUAAGUGCUCACGAGAUGAAAUGAAAUGGAGUCUUGUUUCCCAAAGGGACCCGAAUCCGGUUGGCCUGUGGAAUGCUGCUCUCUGAAGUUAAAUGUGCGAAGUUACUUCCAUUUUGUUUCAUACGACAUUGAUAACCAUCGACACCCGGCCCACGGCUGCACCAGCAGCGCAGUGGCUGGUGGAAAACAGGUGACGUCAGAGGCAGAGGCACACGUGUCCCCCACGGGCACCGGGCGACGCCGGCACAGAUGGCAGGCUGUCAGUUCGUUCACCGUCUGACGCAUGAAAAGAUCGCUGAUAACCAACUUAAAAAUGACUCUGCCACUCAGGAGACGUUGAUUUUGAUGAUAAUGACAGACAGGGAAGGAGAUGGGUGGUGGAACUUGCACAGAAAGCAGUGACGAGACUUGCCCAAAACCAGCCAGGGAGGGGCACGCCUGGGAACAUGGCCCAGUGUUUCCAGCUCCCAAAUCCGGUUCCCUUAGAGAUCAAUCCCCCAAAAGGUUUCAUGGGUGUCUUAGCAUUCUAGAAGUUGGGGAGCAACAAUAUAUUUAAUUGAAUCUUACUUAUCCUUCAAUUUCACCUUCUCCCUGCAACCUGUCCCAAUACCUCUCCUCUGGACUCUUAUGGGGUUCUAAAUCUAUAAAUAAACAACCGGCACUUAAUUACAAUGUGCUCCUUUGCUGCUUCCUGGACCUUGCUUCUUCAACUGGAUCAUAAAUUCCACGAAGACAGGGCUCUAUGUUGUUCCAUGACUUCCUAUAGUGCCUAGGACGAGGCGUGGUUCACAAGAGACACUGAAUACGUAUCUGUUGAUGCAUGCAAUAUAUGUGUGUUUGUACAUGUGUCUGGCAUUGCCACCUCACUGGGGGGAGCAUUCAUGGGCCAGGCCGCCUCCAUCUGAAAAUCCUCCCACCUCAGGGGCAGGUCUCCCCAGAGGAAAUGAUGAAAUUUGCCCAAGAAUUUUUUUUCUAGGGAUAUAAUAAAUGCUGCCUUGGUGGCUUUCUUCCCAUUUCCAUUAAUAUUCAUUUGCAAUUUAUUUAUUAUUUAGUCUUCUCCUUGCUAGCAAGAACUAAAGUUUUCAGAAAAAAAAAUUGGACAGAAACAAAAUUGAGAAAACUCAAAAUCUAUUACCUAUUAUCAAUCAAAAAAUACUGAUUAACUUUUUUUUUUCUGAAAACCAGGUGGUAGGGGGACCUUAGUUAUUUGGUAAUUGGGAAAAAAAUUCAUAUUCCAGGGCUUCCCUGGUGGCGCAGUAGUUGAGGGUCCGCCUGCCGAUGCAGGGGACACGGGUUCGUGCCCUGGUCUGGGAAGAUCCCACAUGCCGCGGAGCGGCUGGGCCCGUGAGCCGUGGCCGCUGAGCCUGUGCUCCGCGACGGGAGAGGCCACAACAGUGAGAGG
Molecule: long non-coding RNA, 6073 nt
Organism: Physeter macrocephalus (sperm whale)
Lineage: Eukaryota; Metazoa; Chordata; Mammalia; Artiodactyla; Physeteridae
Exons: 3
Source: RefSeq, a predicted model, not a curated record